CCCUUAGACGUUCUGGGCCGCACGCGCGCUACACUGACCAGUGCAACAAGCAUCCGUCCUUGGCCGACAGGCCCGGGCAAUCUUUGAACGCUGGUCGUGAUGGGGAUAGACUUUUGCAAUUUUUGGUCUUCAACGAGGAAUUCCUAGUAAACGCAAGUCAUCAACUUGCAUUGAUUACGUCCCUGCCCUUUGUACACACCGCCCGUCGCACCUACCGAUUGAAUGGUCCGGUGAAGCCUCCGGAGUGGCGCGCACCUCGGUGCCGCCGAGAAGUUGGCUAAACCUUACCAUUUAGAGGAAGGUGAAGUCGUANCA
Molecule: ribosomal RNA, 315 nt
Filed under: uncultured eukaryote
Lineage: Eukaryota
Description: partial 18S ribosomal RNA
Rfam family: Eukaryotic small subunit ribosomal RNA
Source: RNAcentral